AGGACGAACGCUGGCGGCGUGCUUAACACAUGCAAGUCGAACGGAAAGGCCCUUCGGGGUACUCGAGUGGCGAACGGGUGAGUAACACGUGGGUGAUCUGCCCUGCACUUCGGGAUAAGCCUGGGAAACUGGGUCUAAUACCGGAUAUGACCAUGGGAUGCAUGUCCUGUGGUGGAAAGCUUUUGCGGUGUGGGAUGGGCCCGCGGCCUAUCAGCUUGUUGGUGGGGUUAAGGCCUACCAAGGCGACGACGGGUAGCCGGCCUGAGAGGGUGACCGGCCACACUGGGACUGAGAUACGGCCCAGACUCCUACGGGAGGCAGCAGUGGGGAAUAUUGCACAAUGGGCGCAAGCCUGAUGCAGCGACGCCGCGUGAGGGACGACGGCCUUCGGGUUGUAAACCUCUUUCAGCACAGACGAAGCGCAAGUGACGGUAUGUGCAGAAGAAGGACCGGCCAACUACGUGCCAGCAGCCGC
RNAcentral lists this ribosomal RNA (475 nucleotides) under uncultured bacterium. Its description in RNAcentral is "SSU rRNA". It matches the Rfam family "Bacterial small subunit ribosomal RNA", at positions 26 to 518 of the family's 1533-position model. The record is from RNAcentral.